Cervus elaphus (red deer) is the source of this 642-nucleotide long non-coding RNA. RefSeq lists it as uncharacterized. The record is from RefSeq and is a predicted model, not a curated record. The transcript is spliced from 2 exons. Lineage: Eukaryota; Metazoa; Chordata; Mammalia; Artiodactyla; Cervidae.
CCUCACCCUUCCCGGCGAGCGGGCGUGGCCCUGGCUCCGCCUCGGCGGUGGAAGGGAGGGCGGCCCGGAGGCUUGGGAAGUGCUGACCCGGCCGACCGCCUUCCCAGCAGACUCCGCCUUCCCCGCCCGCGAGGGACCCGGCGCCGGCGGUGGCCAAGGCGGCGGAGACUCGGAGGCGCGGGGCGAGCCGUGACUCAGAGCCGGCCCUGGGCGCAAUCUGGUGGCGAAGACGCCCGACCUGGAGCGCCUGGCGCACCGAGGGGAGCCCCGCGGCGAGCCUGGGCGCUCCCCACCGCACCGCCCCCCUCCAAGACAAGAGCCUUUUCUCCAAGUCUUCGGGCCGCGCACUCCUAGGUUCUCUGCGUGGCCGCAGGCGAGCGGGCGCAGGAAUGCGCGGUGUAGGUGGAGCCCAGGGCAGACCGCGUGAAGAGUCCCCGUGGGGGUCGCUGCUGGGACAAGUGGGCGACUCGCGCGGGUUCUGCGGCCCGGCGGUACUUAGUUACCGGACCAAGGACAGAACCUGCACACUUGGCAGUGAGAGCGCGGAGUCCUAACCACUGGACCGCCAGGAAAUUGGUGGGGAAAUGUUUUUUAAAUACAAGAAGUCAUGCUGUGCUUUAAAAAAUAAAAAUUAAAAAUAUA